UUUUGCGAUGCCCAGCCUCAUUUUGCCCAGUCUGCGCCGCCUCCACGAUCCCCUGCGGCACCGGCUGGAGCCUCCGCAGCGCGCCAGUGAGGAUCUGCUGCUGAAGAAAGAAGAAGCGACGUUGGGACCUGGCGUUGGGUGUAGCUUUGAAUUGCUGCCUUUUCAUUGGUUUAUCUGUUGCCAUUUUCUAUUUGUGUUUUUAGUUGCUGUUGGACAUGAUUUUUGUAAGAAUGGUUGUUUCUUCUGCGUUCUCAUAAUAUUAAAGCUUUUUUGUUUUUCUUGUU
Coturnix japonica (Japanese quail) is the source of this 284-nucleotide non-coding RNA. The record is from RefSeq and is a predicted model, not a curated record. Lineage: Eukaryota; Metazoa; Chordata; Aves; Galliformes; Phasianidae.